UAAGGGCCCACCAAGGCGACGAUCAGUAGCCGACCUGAGAGGGUGAUCGGCCACAUUGGGACUGAGACACGGCCCAAACUCCUACGGGAGGCAGCAGUGGGGAAUAUUGCGCAAUGGGGGCAACCCUGACGCAGCAACGCCGCGUGAGCGAUGAAGGUUUUCGGAUCGUAAAGCUCUGUUCUGAGGGAAGAUAAUGACGGUACCUCAGGAGAAAGCCCCGGCUAACUAC
RNAcentral lists this ribosomal RNA (229 nucleotides) under uncultured bacterium. RNAcentral describes it as "partial 16S ribosomal RNA". It matches the Rfam family "Bacterial small subunit ribosomal RNA", at positions 258 to 504 of the family's 1533-position model. The record is from RNAcentral.